UGUGUUCAAUAGUUUAUCUACCUAACGCUAAUCACUAUCUCGCUCCAUGUGCUACAGAUUUUGUUUAUAUCAAACAAAUUAAUAGUCUCUGAUCAGAAAAUUAUAAUCAAGAAGCAUCCCAAUCUUCCUCUACCAUUCUAUUCAGAUAGAACAUUCAAGAUCCUUCAGGUUACCAACAACAACCAUUUAAAGCUUUCAUUUUGAUGAUUUUUUUUUGUUAUAGAAUAUGUGGACACAAGGCUUCGAAACUGUUGAAGAGAUACUCAAUUUGAUUUUUAGAUUGGAGACAUCAAAGCGGAUUUCAAAUCUAUUCGGACAUCAAGGAUUUCUGCAAGUCAUUUUGAAGACGAUUGACGCCAUGGAAUCGUCCCCUGAAUCAUAUAAAAGGAAAGAAGCCUACAUGCUAAUGUUCUUACUGAUGAUGAUAUUCUUUAUAUGGUAUGUUAUUCUUUGUUUACUAGUAUAAGCAUGCCCACAUUAGUUCAAUUUUACAUUUUAUUACCUGUAGUUUAUGAUGGUCUCACUAUUCAUGCGUUUACGCAAACAUAUGAAGAGUACCUCGCAGCCCAUGGCAGAGGCAACCGAAUUUCACAUCAAUCGGCCAAUAAGCUUCUUUAAGUUAUUUUUGUUUCACGUUGGCCAUAAACUUCUUUAAGUUCUUAUUUAUUUCAUAUAUCAUUUUCACAUUAUAUCAAUCUAUAACAUGUCUUGAACAGGUGAUUGAGUCUUCCCAAAAGAGUCGGGAUUCAUCUGUUAGCAAAGCGAACGAUGUUGACUCGCAAGCAUCCUACUUUUUACUUCCAAAAACAUAUAGUUUACUACAAUUAUGCAAUAACUUUGUUUCUUUUCUUUAAAAAAAACUGUUACAGUUAUUCACGAUACUGCUUAAAGGAGAGGGCUCGCCAUCUUCAUGGUCAUGAUGAUCAUCAUAGUCGUCGUGAUCGUCAUAGUUAUCAUCACAAUUCCUCUCCUCAAUGAGAGUAUGAUGAAGUUAGAUUCCAUUUAUUCAUUGAUUGGUGGGCAGUGAAGUUAUGUGAGAAAGGAAGAUGGUACAGAUAACCGUCUAGGACCAACCAAACCGUGUGCGUAUUUAUAUUUUGGAAAGUGGAUUGCCACUAUUCUUUGAUGUUAAUAGCAGUGGCACAACCGUAUAAUCAAUAGGGGAGUACGUAAUCAGAAAGAGCGGGAAGCCUCUUCACUACAAGGGAAGUGCAUUCUACAAGAUUAUUCCCAGCUUCAUGAUUCAUAUUGGUGAUUUUACCCUUGGAGAUGGGAGCAGGGGUGUUUUUCUUAUGUUUGGCUAACUAAAAGCGACACAUCAUAUUCCAGUAUUUUCAUUAAGUUUCUCUUGCAUGAGUUAGCUGAACAUCUUACCCUCCUUCGAUGAUGACCCCCGUUCCAAAUGCUAACAAAUGGGUUUGAUAAACUUCGUAUUUGUAGAUUUAUAUUAAUUAUUAUACUUAUUAACUUUUCAUUAACGAAAAUUUUAAUCUUAGCAUAUAUUUGUAUUCUGCUUACAAAGAGCAACUUUCUAAUUAGAUCAUGUAUUUAUAACUGUCCUUGAACAUAUUGCUUUGAUAUAACAUGUAUUUAAUUUUAAAAUAUUUCAUUUUUAUCAUAUGUAUAUAAGUAUUUUUUAGAGUAAAUUACGAUUUUGGCCCCUGUGGUUAUAUCACUUUUACCCUUUUAGCCCCAAAAAGAAUUUUUUUUAACAUCGGUUACCCCCCAAACGUCUUUUUUUCUAACCUUUCUGGCCCCUAACGCAUGAUUUAUCAUCAUUGGAUUUGAAAACGUAAGUUAGUUUUUUCUUUACCUUUAUGUAUUCACAUGAAAUUGAGGAUUACUCUCAUUAAUGUACUAUGUUAGGUAGUUUAUUACAGUUACUUUUUUAUGACUGUAUUAAGCUUACAAGUCAACAAGCUUUCGUAUACAACAGGAGUUCAGAGAUGACUUAAGCGUUACGUCUACAGGUGGAAGUUCAAAAAAGACUACACGAGCAACUUGAGAUUCAAAAGAAUCUACAGAUGAGAAUAGAAGAACAAGGGAGAUACCUCCAGAUGAUAUUUGAGAAGCAAUGCAAGUUUGGCAUCGAUGCAUUCCAACCCGCUUCAUCCACCCUAGAGAAAUCAGAAACCGAGUUGACGAAUGAGAUCUUGAGUUCUCUAGCCCGAACCAAAAUAGAGCCCGGCCCGAUAAAAGCUAUGUCACCAUCAUCAGAGAAGCAAGAGGAAGAACAUGAACCCUCGGAAUCACAACCCUCAAAAUGCGCUAAAUUAAACGAGUCGUCAUCAACUGAAUCGUCAUAAGAAACGUAACCAUAAAUGCACCUGUAGAUGUUCCGGAACAUAGAUCGCGUACCAAUAACAAUUUUGACCUACGACACAACAUGACCAAUUCACUACAUCUAUAUACUACAUCUUCAAUCAUAUUUGAAAACA
Long non-coding RNA from Helianthus annuus (common sunflower), 2438 nucleotides. RefSeq lists it as uncharacterized. The record is from RefSeq and is a predicted model, not a curated record. Lineage: Eukaryota; Viridiplantae; Streptophyta; Magnoliopsida; Asterales; Asteraceae. The transcript is spliced from 7 exons.